UACAGAGGGGGCAAGCGUUAUUCAGAAUUAUUGGGCGUAAAGGGCGCGUAGGCGGCCAUUCAAGUGACGGGUGAAAGCCCUCGGCUUAACCGAGGAACUGCCUGUCAGACUGGAUGGCUUGAGACCGGGAGAGGUGAGUGGAAUUCCCAGUGUAGCGGUGAAAUGCGUAGAUAUUGGGAGGAACACCAGUGGCGAAGGCGGCUCACUGGACCGGAACUGACGCUGAGGCGCGAAAGCGUGGGGAGCAAACAGG
Molecule: ribosomal RNA, 253 nt
Filed under: uncultured bacterium
Lineage: Bacteria
Description: partial 16S ribosomal RNA
Rfam family: Bacterial small subunit ribosomal RNA
Source: RNAcentral